RNAcentral lists this ribosomal RNA (320 nucleotides) under uncultured bacterium. Its description in RNAcentral is "bacterial SSU rRNA". It matches the Rfam family "Bacterial small subunit ribosomal RNA", at positions 470 to 789 of the family's 1533-position model. The record is from RNAcentral.
UGACGGUACCUGACUAAGAAGCCCCGGCUAACUACGUGCCAGCAGCCGCGGUAAUACGUAGGGGGCAAGCGUUAUCCGGAUUUACUGGGUGUAAAGGGAGCGUAGACGGCAAAGCAAGUCUGAAGUGAAAUCCCGGGGCUCAACCCUGGAACUGCUUUGGAAACUGUUUAGCUAGAGUGCAGGAGAGGUAAGUGGAAUCCCUAGUGUAGCGGUGAAAUGCGUAGAUAUUAGGAGGAACACCAGUGGCGAAGGCGGCUUACUGGACUGUAACUGACGUUGAGGCUCGAAAGCGUGGGGAGCAAACAGGAUUAGAUACCCUG